This 494-nucleotide unclassified non-coding RNA is filed under the name Hevea brasiliensis (rubber tree). Lineage: Eukaryota; Viridiplantae; Streptophyta; Magnoliopsida; Malpighiales; Euphorbiaceae. The record is from RNAcentral.
GAUUUUUAACCCGGACGUAUUGACUUUCUAGACUAUUAAUUUUAUUCUCUAUUUCUUUUAUGAGUGCUUCAGAAGGGACUUGGCGUGCAUUUUGUAUCUCUACAAGAAAAGGACGGCCUGUACCGAGCAUCCGAACAUCAAUGUCCUCCCUACCGGCAGCAUGAAACUUAUAAUUGUCACCCUGGAAGAUAGGAAGGAUGGCCCCACCUAUUAUUUCCUCAACGGAUGCUUCUCCCAUUCGUUCAUCAUCAAUAACCCAGCGUGUCUGGCUCACAUUUCUCGAAUACUUAAGAUAUCUCCCUCCAAUGUAUGUAGAGCUUCUGCAGCAAUGAAUGGCCAGAGAACAAGGCUUACCGACCUUAUCUAACUUAGCCAUUAAGUUAUUACAACUGAGAUCUUGGGCCUCCUUGGGACAAACUUUAGUCAGUCCAUCUCCAUCAACAAUAUUACUAUCAAAAGACUCAACAUGAGGAGUAACAGAUUCCCCAGUUGUC